This 560-nucleotide ribosomal RNA is filed under the name uncultured bacterium. RNAcentral's name for it is "bacterial SSU rRNA". It matches the Rfam family "Bacterial small subunit ribosomal RNA", at positions 396 to 949 of the family's 1533-position model. The record is from RNAcentral.
UGCGCGUGUGUGAAGAAGCCUUUGGUUGUAAGCACUUUAAUCGAGGAGGAGGCUACUUUUAGUUAUACCUAGAGAUAGUGGACGUUACUCGCAGAAUAAGCGCCGGCUAACUCUGUGCCAGCAGCCGCGGUAAUACAGAGGGUGCAAGCGUUAAUCGGAUUUACUGGGCGUAAAGCGCGCGUAGGCGGCUAAUUAAGUCAAAUGUGAAAUCCCCGAGCUUAACUUGGGAAUUGCAUUCGAUACUGGUUAGCUAGAGUGUGGGAGAGGAUGGUAGAAUUCCAGGUGUAGCGGUGAAAUGCGUAGAGAUCUGGAGGAAUACCGAUGGCGAAGGCAGCCAUCUGGCCUAACACUGACGCUGAGGUGCGAAAGCAUGGGGAGCAAACAGGAUUAGAUACCCUGGUAGUCCAUGCCGUAAACGAUGUCUACUAGCCGUUGGGGCCUUUGAGGCUUUAGUGGCGCAGCUAACGCGAUAAGUAGAACGCCUGGGGAGUACGAGUCCCAAGACUAAAACUCCCAUGAAUUGGACGGAUGCCCGAACAGCGGUGGAGCAUGUGGUUAAU